AUACCCGCUGAACUUAAGCAUAUCAAUAAGCGGAGGAAAAGAAACCAACCGGGACUGCCUCAGUAACGGCGAGUGAAGCGGCACCAGCUCAGAUUUGAAAUCCGGCCCCCUGUGCAGAGGCCCGAGUUGUAAUCUGCAGAGGAUGUUUCGGGCGCGGCGGCGGUUUAAGUCCCUUGGAACAGGGCGUCAUAGAGGGUGAGAAUCCCGUAUGUGACCGGCGACCAACCCCCCCACGAAACUCCUUCGACGAGUCGAGUUGUUUGGGAAUGCAGCUCUAAAUGGGUGGUAAAUUCCAUCUAAAGCUAAGUACGGGCCAGAGACCGAUAGCGCACAAGUAGAGUGAUCGAAAGAUGAAAAGCACUUUGGAAAGAGGGUCAAAGAGUACGUGAAAUUGUUGAAAGGGAAGCGCUCGCGACCAGACCUGCCCGCGGGCGAUCAGCGGUGGGUUCCCCCCGCCGUGCACUCGCCCGCGAUCAGGCCAGCAUCGGUUUCGGCGGCCGGACAAAGGCCCGGGGAACGUGACUCCCCCCGCCGGGGGAGCGUUAUAGCCCCGGGUGCAAUGCGGCCAGCUGGGACCGAGGACCCGCGCUCCGGCAAGGAUGCUGGCGUAAUGGUCGUGAGCGACCCGUCUUGAAACACGGACCAAGGAGUCUAACAUCUAUGCGAGUGUUUGGGUGUCAAACCCAUGCGCGCAAUGAAAGUGAACGGAGGUGGGAACCCCGGAGGGGCGCACCAUCGACCGAUCCCGAAGUUUACGGACGGAUUUGAGUACGAGCAUAGCUGUUGGGACCCGAAAGGUAUGUCGGUAUCGGUGCCUCCGGGAGUGACAGCAGCUAACGUGAUUGUUCCAUUCAGAUGGUGAACUAUGCCUGAAUAGGGUGAAGCCAGAGGAAACUCUGGUGGAGGCUCGCAGCGGUUCUGACGUGCAAAUCGAUCGUCAAAUUUGGGUAUAGGGGCGAAAGACU
Molecule: ribosomal RNA, 965 nt
Filed under: Phyllopsora thaleriza
Lineage: Eukaryota; Fungi; Ascomycota; Lecanoromycetes; Lecanorales; Ramalinaceae
Description: LSU rRNA
Rfam family: Eukaryotic large subunit ribosomal RNA
Source: RNAcentral